GGGCCCGCACAAGCGGUGGAGUAUGUGGUUUAAUUCGAUGCAACGCGAAGAACCUUACCAGGGUUUGACAUCCUGCGAAUCUCUUGGAAACAGGAGAGUGCCUUCGGGAACGCAGUGACAGGUGGUGCAUGGCUGUCGUCAGCUCGUGUCGUGAGAUGUUGGGUUAAGUCCCGCAACGAGCGCAACCCACGUCUUUAGUUGCCAGCAUUUAGUUGGGCACUCUAGAGAGACUGCCGGUGAUAAACCGGAGGAAGGUGUGGAUGACGUCAAGUCAUCAUGCCCCUUACAUCCUGGGCUACACACGUACUACAAUGGCCGAGACAAAGAGCAGCUAACUCGCGAGAGUACGCAAAUCUCAUAAACCGUGGCUCAGUUCAGAUCGUAGGCUGCAACUCGCCUACGUGAAGGAGGAAUCGCUAGUAAUCGCAGGU
Molecule: ribosomal RNA, 431 nt
Filed under: uncultured bacterium
Lineage: Bacteria
Description: bacterial SSU rRNA
Rfam family: Bacterial small subunit ribosomal RNA
Source: RNAcentral